CUGUAUGAUAAAGAAAUGUUUUUUGUUAUCUGCUAAGGACUGUAGUAAAGCAUUUACGACGGUAAUGGACUGAAAUUCUUAGGACUUAAGGAUGUACUUAGGUGAGGUUUUGGGAUUUGUGUCAAAUGUUCGGACUCCUUGGUGUUUUUCCAUACAAUACAAUGUAAAAUAUUUUGCCCCAUAAACACCCAUUUAUUUUUUCAUAUAAGACUUAAUAGCUCAUGAAAGGUCAUUUACCAAAAUUUUAGAAGAUUCUUGAUUUUCUUUCUUUUCUUUUGAGACCCAAAUAAUACCAAUGCAAAUAUAAGGUAUAAGUCCGAGUCCGUCUUUACCCGCCAUAUUUUAAAUCUCAAAUAUCUCGAAAAGGAGGUCCAUGACCUAUCAAUAUUUUUAGCUUAUCUUUAUCCUUAAUUGAUGCUCUACCAGCUUAUAGUAUCAAUUUUAAUUUCUUAAUUUCUUAAUUUUUACCUAACCUCACCUAAGUACAUCCUUAAACAGCCACCUGUAUGACUCUAAGGACUAAUUUCGUUGUCUGCGUAGUACUGUAGAAAUCAGGAGCGGUUUAACGACGGCAAUGGACGGAAAUUCUUAAGACAUUCAGUCUCUAAUGAUGUGUUGGCAAUUGUUUACAUAUUAAAGGCAAAAC
Molecule: long non-coding RNA, 646 nt
Filed under: Mytilus galloprovincialis (Mediterranean mussel)
Lineage: Eukaryota; Metazoa; Mollusca; Bivalvia; Mytilida; Mytilidae
Source: RNAcentral